CAGUCGCCGCGGUAACACGUAGGGUGCAAGCGUUAAUCGGAAUUACUGGGCGUAAAGCGUGCGCAGGCGGUUAUAUAAGACAGAUGUGAAAUCCCCGGGCUCAACCUGGGAACUGCAUUUGUGACUGUAUAGCUAGAGUACGGCAGAGGGGGAUGGAAUUCCGCGUGUAGCAGUGAAAUGCGUAGAUAUGCGGAGGAACACCGAUGGCGAAGGCAAUCCCCUGGGCCUGUACUGACGCUCAUGCACGAAAGCGUGGGGAGCAAACAGGAUUAGAUACCCCCGUAGUCCCUGUCUCUUAUAC
RNAcentral lists this ribosomal RNA (301 nucleotides) under uncultured bacterium. Its description in RNAcentral is "partial 16S ribosomal RNA". It matches the Rfam family "Bacterial small subunit ribosomal RNA", at positions 509 to 807 of the family's 1533-position model. The record is from RNAcentral.